CAUAGUAUUGUAUAAUUUUAUUUUUAUAAAAAAUAUUUAUUAAAAUAAUAGAUAUAAGAAUGAAAUAUGGUGACAUACAUAAAAUUGUGGGGCUUAGUUUGGUGUUCCACUUCAUCUCAAUAUGCUUAAACAUGCAAUAGGAGAUUAAUUAUUUUGAGUUUGUUUACUUAUUUUUUACAGCGAAUCAUCAAUUCAGCUUUUUUUCCAUUAAUUCUUCUUUGUGUUGAUACAGUUGAUUCUGAAGAGACUGAAAGAGAAAAAAGUGAAAGGGAACAAAGUGAAACAGAAGAAAUUGAUUCUGAAGAAGCUGAAAGAGAAAAAAAGUGAAACAGAAGAAAGUGAAAGAAGCAAACAGUUGUGUUUGAGGUGCCUCAAAAGAAUUAGGAGGUGAAGCAAGCGAUCUAGUGAAGAAGGAAUAAGUAAAUGAGUAUGAUUCUAAAGCCAUGGCAAAGAUAGGGGAGCAUUUGAAGAGCAUGGAGGCGAGGCGGCCUCAACUAGAAGCGCUAACAAGCUUGCUCGUGGGGAAGAACGACGACAGUGUAGUUGUUGACUGUGAAGAGAAGGAUGAUGACAAAAAUUCAGACAACAAUGUUGAAAAUGAAUAUAGUGAAACAGAGGAUUCAUCAGU
Molecule: long non-coding RNA, 628 nt
Organism: Salvia miltiorrhiza (redroot sage)
Lineage: Eukaryota; Viridiplantae; Streptophyta; Magnoliopsida; Lamiales; Lamiaceae
Exons: 3
Source: RefSeq, a predicted model, not a curated record